This 793-nucleotide ribosomal RNA is filed under the name uncultured soil archaeon. RNAcentral describes it as "bacterial SSU rRNA". It matches the Rfam family "Archaeal small subunit ribosomal RNA", at positions 77 to 855 of the family's 1478-position model. The record is from RNAcentral.
GUUAGCGCACAGCUCAGUAACACGUGGCUAACCUGCCCUUGGGACGGAAACACCCCCGGGAAACUGGGGCUAAUUUCCGAUAGGUGAAGACUCCUGGAAUGGAUUUUUGCCGAAAGGGCGCUUAGGGCAUGCUUCUAGGCGUUGCUCAAGGAUGGGGCCGCGGCCGAUCAGGUUGUUGGUGAGGUAAUGGCUCACCAAGCCUUUAACCGGUACGGGCCGUGGGAGCGGUAGCCCGGAGAUGGGCACUGAGACAAGGGCCCAGGCCCUACGGGGCGCAGCAGUCGCGAAAACUUCGCAAUAAGCGAAAGCUUGACGGGGCCAUCCCGAGUGCCAUCUGCUGAGGAUGGCUUUUACCCAGUAUAGAUAGCUGGGGGAAUAAGGAGAGGGCAAGUCUGGUGUCAGCCGCCGCGGUAAUACCAGCUCUCCGAGUUGUGGGGAUGUUUAUUGGGCCUGAAGCAUCCGUAGCCGGCUGGACAAGUCCUCUGUUAAAUUCAGCGACCAAUCGUUGGUCUGCGGAGGAUACUGUCCGGCUAGGGGGCGGGAGAGGCCGUCGGUAUUCUUGGGGUAGGGGUGAAAUCCUAUAAUCCCAGGAGGACCACCAGUGGCGAAGGCUGUCGGCUAGAACGCGCCCGACGGUGAGGGAUGAAAGCUGGGGGAGCGAACCGGAUUAGAUACCCGGGUAGUCCCAGCUGUAAACGAUGCAGGCUAGGUGUUAGGGCGGCUACGUGCCGCUCUAGUGCCGCAGGGAAGCUGUUAAGCCUGCCGCCUGGGGAUACGACCGGCAGGCUGAAGU